Molecule: unclassified non-coding RNA, 279 nt
Filed under: plant metagenome
Description: partial contains small subunit ribosomal RNA, internal transcribed spacer 1, and 5.8S ribosomal RNA
Source: RNAcentral
UUUCCGUUGGUGAACCAGCGGAGGGAUCAUUACUGAGUUUACAACUCCUAAACUCUAUGUGAACCUUACCUUUUUUUGCUUCGGCUGGAUCUCCCUGGCUCUCAACGGCGCUGGACCUCUGGCGCCCGCCGGAGCUCAUAAACUCUUGUUUAUUUAUGAUUCCUCUUCGAGUGUCUUAAGCUACAUAAACUAAUACUUUCUAUAACGGAUCUCUUUGUCCUCGCAUCGAUGAAGAAUGCAGCACAUCGGACGAGCAAACGUUUGAACCCCAGUUCGUUU